Molecule: non-coding RNA, 514 nt
Organism: Pelobates cultripes (western spadefoot toad)
Lineage: Eukaryota; Metazoa; Chordata; Amphibia; Anura; Pelobatidae
Source: the annotation of a GenBank genome assembly
CAGCUAACCAUGGACUAGAACUAAUCAUGCAACAUAGCAGGGAACAUAGCAGGGAUCUGUCCAAAUUAGCACUAUCAUCCAACACUCACAAAGAAUACAACAGAGCCAUCACACUUUUCACAAGAUUCCUAUCCGACCAUGACAUAACCCAUCCUUUCGUCAUGACAUCUAUUAUAGCCUUCGCUUCUUUUUGCCACCUUACAUUACACUUAUCUUACAACACAAUCAAAUUAUAUCUGACAGGCAUUCAACAUCAUAUGCUAACUCUACAACCCAAUACACAUAGUUUCAUGUCAUCUUAUCAGGUAAAGAAUAUACUUAGAGGUAUUCAGAAAUCCGUUCCUCCACCUCUUCCACAGAGAUUACCUAUAGAUAACACACUUGUGACAAAGUGCCCUUAGCCACUUGGUCCUGGAGAGGCCUACUUGCCAGCCUCCUCCCCUGUGACUAUGACUCUUUCAUCUAUCUGGCUUUAAAGCCCCUAGUCUACCUUCAGACAAACUAUUUAUGUGGG